Molecule: long non-coding RNA, 200 nt
Filed under: Cavia porcellus (domestic guinea pig)
Lineage: Eukaryota; Metazoa; Chordata; Mammalia; Rodentia; Caviidae
Description: lncRNA (ENSCPOG00000033039.1)
Source: RNAcentral
GCAGGAGAUGAUGGUGAACACUGGCGACCUAGGCCAGGACCUCGAGCACUGCCUGCAGCUCUGCAGGUGGCUUCACAAGUUCCAAGGCACCAAGAGCGUCGUGGGUGAUGCCCACAUCAGGACCAUCAAUGAGCUGGCGCUGCAGCUCAAGAGCCAGGACCCUGAGGAAGCCAAGAUCAUCUGCCAGCGGCGAAGCCAGC